GAAUCUUGCGCAAUGCGCGAAAGCGUGACGCAGCAACGCCGCGUGGGGGAAGAAGGCCUUCGGGUUGUAAACCCCUUUCAGGAGGGACGAAGGUGCGACGGUGAAUAGCCGCUCGCACUGACGGUACCUCCACAAGAAGCUCCGGCUAACUACGUGCCAGCAGCCGCGGUAAUACGUAGGGAGCUAGCGUUGUCCGGAAUCAUUGGGCGUAAAGCGCGCGUAGGCGGCCCGGUAAGUCCGUUGUGAAAGUCGAAGGCUCAACCUUCGAAAGCCGAUGGAAACUGCCGGGCUAGAGUCCGGAAGAGGCGAGUGGAAUUCCUGGUGUAGCGGUGGAAUGCGCAGAUAUCAGGAGGAACACCGAUAGCGAAGGCAGCUCGCUGGGACGGUACUGACGCUGAGGCGCGAAAGCGUGGGGAGCGAACAG
Molecule: ribosomal RNA, 424 nt
Filed under: uncultured bacterium
Lineage: Bacteria
Description: bacterial SSU rRNA
Rfam family: Bacterial small subunit ribosomal RNA
Source: RNAcentral